RNAcentral lists this ribosomal RNA (468 nucleotides) under uncultured bacterium. RNAcentral's name for it is "partial 16S ribosomal RNA". It matches the Rfam family "Bacterial small subunit ribosomal RNA", at positions 28 to 507 of the family's 1533-position model. The record is from RNAcentral.
GACGAACGCUGGCGGCGUGCUUAACACAUGCAAGUCGAACGGAAAGGCCCUGCUUUUGUGGGGUGCUCGAGUGGCGAACGGGUGAGUAACACGUGAGUAACCUGCCCUUGACUUUGGGAUAACUUCAGGAAAAUGGGGCUAAUACCGGAUAGGAGCUCCUGCUGCAUGGUGGGGGUUGGAAAGUUUCGGCGGUUGGGGAUGGACUCGCGGCUUAUCAGCUUGUUGGUGGGGUAGUGGCUUACCAAGGCUUUGACGGGUAGCCGGCCUGAGAGGGUGACCGGCCACAUUGGGACUGAGAGACGGCCCAGACUCCUACGGGAGGCAGCAGUGGGGAAUAUUGCACAAUGGGCGGAAGCCUGAUGCAGCAACGCCGCGUGCGGGAUGACGGCCUUCGGGUUGUAAACCGCUUUCGCCUGUGACGAAGCGUGAGUGACGGUAAUGGGUAAAGAAGCACCGGCUAACUACGUG